This 125-nucleotide small RNA is filed under the name Marmota monax (woodchuck). The record is from RNAcentral. Lineage: Eukaryota; Metazoa; Chordata; Mammalia; Rodentia; Sciuridae.
GCCAGGUAUGGUGACGUAUGCCUGUAAUCCCAGCAGCUUGGGAGGCUGAGACAGGAGGAUCACAAGUUCAAAGCCAGCCUCAGCAAUCGCAAGGCACUAAGCAAUUCAGUGAGACCGUGUCUCUA